Molecule: ribosomal RNA, 406 nt
Filed under: uncultured bacterium
Lineage: Bacteria
Description: partial 16S ribosomal RNA
Rfam family: Bacterial small subunit ribosomal RNA
Source: RNAcentral
AUUGAACGCUGGCGGCAGGCCUAACACAUGCAAGUCGAAUGAGUGGCGGACGGGUGAGUAAUGUCUGGUAAACUGCCUGAUGUAGGGGGAUAACUACUGGAAACGGUAGCUAAUACCGCAUACCAUCAGAUGGGCCCAGAUGGGAUUGGCUUGUUGGUGGGGUAACGGCUCACCAAGGCGAAGCUCCCUAGCUGGUCUGAGAGGAUGACCAGCAACACUGGAACUGUGACACGGUCCAGACUCAGACGGGAGGCAGCAGUGGGGAAUAUGUCACAAUGGGCGCAAGCCGGAUGCAGCCAGGACGCGUGGAUGAAGAAGGCCUUCGGGUUGGAAAGUACUUUCAGCGGGGAGUCGUUACCCGCAGAAGAAGCACCGGCUAACUCCGGGCCAGAAGCCGCGGUAAUAC